This 753-nucleotide ribosomal RNA is filed under the name uncultured Staphylococcus sp. Its description in RNAcentral is "bacterial SSU rRNA". It matches the Rfam family "Bacterial small subunit ribosomal RNA", at positions 46 to 781 of the family's 1533-position model. The record is from RNAcentral. Lineage: Bacteria; Bacillati; Bacillota; Bacilli; Caryophanales; Staphylococcaceae.
GCCUAAUACAUGCAAGUCGAGCGAACAGACGAGGAGCUUGCUCCUCUGACGUUAGCGGCGGACGGGUGAGUAACACGUGGAUAACCUACCUAUAAGACUGGGAUAACUUCGGGAAACCGGAGCUAAUACCGGAUAAUAUAUUGAACCGCAUGGUUCAAUAGUGAAAGACGGUUUUGCUGUCACUUAUAGAUGGAUCCGCGCCGCAUUAGCUAGUUGGUAAGGUAACGGCUUACCAAGGCAACGAUGCGUAGCCGACCUGAGAGGGUGAUCGGCCACACUGGAACUGAGACACGGUCCAGACUCCUACGGGAGGCAGCAGUAGGGAAUCUUCCGCAAUGGGCGAAAGCCUGACGGAGCAACGCCGCGUGAGUGAUGAAGGUCUUCGGAUCGUAAAACUCUGUUAUUAGGGAAGAACAAAUGUGUAAGUAACUAUGCACGUCUUGACGGUACCUAAUCAGAAAGCCACGGCUAACUACGUGCCAGCAGCCGCGGUAAUACGUAGGUGGCAAGCGUUAUCCGGAAUUAUUGGGCGUAAAGCGCGCGUAGGCGGUUUUUUAAGUCUGAUGUGAAAGCCCACGGCUCAACCGUGGAGGGUCAUUGGAAACUGGAAAACUUGAGUGCAGAAGAGGAAAGUGGAAUUCCAUGUGUAGCGGUGAAAUGCGCAGAGAUAUGGAGGAACACCAGUGGCGAAGGCGACUUUCUGGUCUGUAACUGACGCUGAUGUGCGAAAGCGUGGGGAUCAAACAGGAUUAG